RNAcentral lists this transfer RNA (67 nucleotides) under Marmota monax (woodchuck). Its description in RNAcentral is "tRNA.Ala". Lineage: Eukaryota; Metazoa; Chordata; Mammalia; Rodentia; Sciuridae. The record is from RNAcentral.
GGUUGUGGCUUAGUGGUAGAGUGCUUGCCUAGCACAUGUGAGGUACUGGGUUAGAUCCUCAGUACCA